UUCUUACUAACCAAACUAGCAAAAAUAAAGAAAGAAAUAUAAAGGAAAGUAAUUAAUAAUGCAGCAUCCCAAGAAUGAUUAUGAUAGGUCAAAGAGAAGGCAACUUAAUCAUAUUUUUGAAACUCAUUCCUGCUAGUUCAGCAUUAUCCAUGAUAAGAUAUCCCAAAUCAUUUUUUUUUCCUUCCUUUAUUUGUUAUUAGAUAUUGCCUUAAGUUAGGAUAUUAAAAAAAAUUGAGAAGAUUUAAAAGACUUCAUGAUACAAAAAAUUGCCCAUGUCUUGGUUUCCACUUUAGACAAUUUCCCUUCUGUAGAACAACAUAAUAAUGUGAUAAGCCACCACCUUGUAAAGGUAUUAAGGGAAAGAAUAAUCCAAAUCAAAUUAUAAAAGUGUGUACAGGGGGUGGACCAAUGUGUCAAAGUUAGAAUAAUUAAAAAGAAAAAAGAACAUGACAUGAGAAGAUCUAUGUGGUUUGGCUAUGAGAGCCUAUAUCAACAGCACAAACCUCAAAGAACUACAUCUUUAUUUAAUUGUAUUCUACAUCUCAUAAUACAUAAACUUCACUAUUUAUAAUGGAAGACCAAAGAUAUAUAUGGCACCAUAAAUUAAGAGAUUUUCCAACUAAAUGAAAAUAUAAGAAAACCCCUUAAAUAGGAAUAUCAAAACAUAAAUUAUUCUUCUACCUAUAGGAAUACAAAUCCAAACCCCUUAAAUAGGAAUAUCAAAACAUAAAUUAUUCUACCUAUAGGAAUACAAAUCCUACACUAAAUAAGAAUAACUUUCCAUAUUAUUCCCCUUUAAUUGGAGCAUGUAAUCUUAUUAAUUCCAAAACAAGGCAACUCCCAUUGCAAAAUGUUGGUUAGAUUUUAUUUCUGCAGUGCUGGGGUAACUAUUCAUUCAAGUUUUGCUAAAACAAUUAUUAAUCAGAUCAGAAAACAUAACGGUCACCAAAUAGGGAAUUAUUUCACAUGAAAAUACCUACCAACCAAAACUAAUGCGAAAACAUGUUGUCCAAGUAGGGGAUAGAUGAAUUUAGAUGGAGAAAUGUUGAAAAAUAGUGCAAGGGAAAUGUUGAAAAAUAGUGCAAGGGAAUUACCUGACAUUAGCAGGAAGAUAAGACGAAGGAUUGAUACGACAACGUAGUCUUAGAUUUUGAGCACUAAACACACACACUGUUGCAUCUAAGAAGCUGGCAUAUACCAGCUGACUAUCACAUGAGAAAGUUGCAUGAGAGAUUG
This 1236-nucleotide long non-coding RNA is filed under the name Manihot esculenta (cassava). RNAcentral's name for it is "long non-coding RNA (MESC_LNC006436)". The record is from RNAcentral. Lineage: Eukaryota; Viridiplantae; Streptophyta; Magnoliopsida; Malpighiales; Euphorbiaceae.